This 445-nucleotide ribosomal RNA is filed under the name uncultured bacterium. RNAcentral describes it as "bacterial SSU rRNA". It matches the Rfam family "Bacterial small subunit ribosomal RNA", at positions 330 to 792 of the family's 1533-position model. The record is from RNAcentral.
CCCAGACUCCUACGGGAGGCAGCAGUGGGGAAUAUUGCACAAUGGGCGAAAGCCUGAUGCAGCGACGCCGCGUGAGUGAAGAAGUAUUUCGGUAUGUAAAGCUCUAUCAGCAGGGAAGAAAAUGACGGUACCUGACUAAGAAGCCCCGGCUAACUACGUGCCAGCAGCCGCGGUAAUACGUAGGGGGCAAGCGUUAUCCGGAUUUACUGGGUGUAAAGGGAGCGUAGACGGCGAAGCAAGUCUGAAGUGAAAACCCAGGGCUCAACCCUGGGACUGCUCUUGGAACUGCGUGGCUGGAGUGCAGGAGGGGCAGGCGGAAUUCCUGGUGUAGCGGUGAAAUGCGUAGAUAUCAGGAGGAACACCGGUGGCGAAGGCGGCCUGCUGGACUGCAACUGACGUUGAGGCCCGAAAGCGUGGGGAGCAAACAGGAUUAGAUACCCCAGUA